AAAACAUCGCCUCCUGCAAUACAAUCAAGUAUAGGAGGUCCAGCCUGCCCAGUGACCACAAGUUCAACGGCCGCGGUAUUUUGACCGUGCAAAGGUAGCGCAAUCACUUGUCUUUUAAAUAGAGACCUGUAUGAAUGGCUAAACGAGGGCUUAACUGUCUCCCUUUUCAGGUCAGUGAAAUUGAUCUACCCGUGCAGAAGCGGGUAUAACAAUACAAGACGAGAAGACCCUUUGGAGCUUAAGGUACAAAACUCAACCACGUCAAGCAACUUAAUAAAAAGUAAAAACUUUGUGAAACAUGAGAUUUUACCUUCGGUUGGGGCGACCGCGGAGGAAAAAAAAGCCUCCAAGUGGACCGGGACAAACUCCUAAAACCAAGAGAAACAUCUCUAAGCCACAGAACAUCUGACCAAACAUGAUCCGGCCACUAGGGCCGAUCAACGAACCAAGUUACCCUAGGGAUAACAGCGCAAUCCCCUCCCAGAGUCCAUAUCGACGAGGGGGUUUACGACCUCGAUGUUGGAUCAGGACAUCCUAAUGGUGCAGCCGCUAUUAAGGGUUCGUUUGUUCAACGAUUAAAGUCCUACGUGA
Molecule: ribosomal RNA, 591 nt
Filed under: Tor tambroides (Thai mahseer)
Lineage: Eukaryota; Metazoa; Chordata; Actinopteri; Cypriniformes; Cyprinidae
Description: partial 16S ribosomal RNA
Rfam family: Bacterial large subunit ribosomal RNA
Source: RNAcentral